Molecule: ribosomal RNA, 479 nt
Filed under: uncultured bacterium
Lineage: Bacteria
Also listed under: 1 other name
Description: bacterial SSU rRNA
Rfam family: Bacterial small subunit ribosomal RNA
Source: RNAcentral
CGAGAAAGGGGUGGCAACACCCUGAGUAAAGCGGCGGACGGGUGAGUAACGCGUGGGUAAUCUACCCUCUAGUCUGGGAUAACCUUCCGAAAGGGGGGCUAAUACCGGAUCAUGUCCCUUUGGGGCAUCACAAGGGGAGCAAAGGGGGCGCCCGCAAGGGGCUCUCGCUGGAGGAGGAGCCUGCGUCCGAUUAGCUAGUUGGUGGGGUAAUGGCCCACCAAGGCGACGAUCGGUAGCCGGCCUGAGAGGGCGAUCGGCCACACUGGGACUGAGAUACGGCCCAGACUCCUACGGGAGGCAGCAGUGGGGAAUCUUGCGCAAUGGGCGAAAGCCUGACGCAGCGACGCCGCGUGGGGGACGAAGGCCUUCGGGUUGUAAACCCCUGUCAGGCGGAACGAAUCCCCCGAGGACGAAUACUCCUCGGGGUUGACGGUACCGCCAGAGGAAGCCCCGGCUAACUACGUGCCAGCAGCCGCGGU